GGCCUACCAUGCAGUCGAACGGGAUUCACCUUCGGGUGAUGAGAGUGGCGCACGGGUGAGUAACGCGUAUGCAACCUUCCCCAAUCAGGGGGAUAGCCCGGAGAAAUCCGGAUUAAUACCCCAUAUUAUUAUAGUUUCGCAUGGGACUUUAAUGAAAGCUUUGGCGGUUUGGGAUGGGCAUGCGUGGCAUUAGCUUGUUGGUGAGGUAACGGCUCACCAAGGCGACGAUGCCUAGGGGUUCUGAGAGGAUGAUCCCCCACACUGGUACUGAGACACGGACCAGACUCCUACGGGAGGCAGCAGUGAGGAAUAUUGGUCAAUGGGCGCAAGCCUGAACCAGCCAUCCCGCGUGAAGGAAGACUGCCCUAUGGGUUGUAAACUUCUUUUGUACAUGAAGAACGGGCCUUACGUGUAAGGUUAUGACGGUAAUGUACGAAUAAGCAUCGGCUAACUCCGUGCCAGCAGCCGCGGUAAUACGGAGGAUGCGAGCGUUAUCCGGAUUCAUUGGGUUUAAAGGGUACGUAGGUGGCCCUGUAAGUCAGUGGUGAAAACCUGCCGCUUAACGGUAGGCGUGCCAUUGAUACUGCGGGGCUUGAGUACAGAUGAGGUAGGCGGAAUGUGUAGUGUAGCGGUGAAAUGCAUAGAUAUUACACAGAACUCCGAUUGCGAAGGCAGCUUACUAAACUGCAACUGACGCUGAUGUACGAAAGCGUGGGUAGCGAACAGGAUUAGAUACCCUGGUAGUCCACGCCGUAAACGAUGCUCACUGGCUGUAUGCGAUACACAGUAUGUGGCCAAGCGAAAGCGCUAAGUGAGCCACCUGGGGAGUACGCCGGCAACGGUGAAACUCAAAGGAAUUGACGGGGGCCCGCACAAGCGGAGGAACAUGUGGUUUAAUUCGAUGAUACGCGAGGAACCUUACCUGGGCUUAAAUGGGGAGUGACGGACGCUGAAGGUGUCUUUCUUCGGACACUCUUCAAGGUGCUGCAUGGUUGUCGUCAGCUCGUGCCGUGAGGUGUCGGGUUAAGUCCCA
This 1033-nucleotide ribosomal RNA is filed under the name bacterium enrichment culture clone aHCH2_D12. RNAcentral describes it as "bacterial SSU rRNA". It matches the Rfam family "Bacterial small subunit ribosomal RNA", at positions 45 to 1089 of the family's 1533-position model. The record is from RNAcentral.